AUGGUUGAUCAACAAUUAAGAAUCGUUCUAGGGUUAAACGAUCAAUACGAUUGACAUUUAACCUAGUAUAAGUGUUGUAGGAGGAUCGAUUAGCAAUUCGAUUGCUAAUUAGCUUAAUUUGAUUAAAUCAAUAGGAUGAGAUUAAGUUUAAUUGAAUAUGAUUUAAUUAGAUUUAGUUUGGGCUUGACUGGAUUAAGUCCAAUUGGUUUAUUGGAUAAGCCAAGUAC
RNAcentral lists this long non-coding RNA (227 nucleotides) under Elaeis guineensis (African oil palm). Its description in RNAcentral is "long non-coding RNA (EGUI_LNC057248)". Lineage: Eukaryota; Viridiplantae; Streptophyta; Magnoliopsida; Arecales; Arecaceae. The record is from RNAcentral.